GGGACACACCUGCAGUAUAUUGCCAUGGGCUGCAGGUGGAGGUUUGGACUGAAGCAGUCUGCAAGUAAAAUACAGGUGGAGGAGACACCUGCAGUCUACUGCUAGAGGCUUCAGGUUUUAGGUACACACAUUUGAACUGCAGUAAACUGCAGGAGGAGGCUCCUGCAGUUCACUGGCAAAUACUGGAGGUGGAUAUUGGGCCAGCUCUUUCUUCCAAACACUACAGAUGGAGGAAGGCCCUGUAGUAUACUGGCAGAGGCUGUAGGUGGACGUUUGGCCUCUCAGUGUCUGCCAGUAAAAUGCAGGCGGAGGAGGCUCCCGCAGUUUACUGGCAGAGGUUGUAGGUGGAGGUUUGGCCUCUAGGUGUCUGCCAAACAAUACAGAGGUUUGGUCUGCAGCAGUCUGCCAGAAUAUACAGAAGGGGGACACACCUGCAGUAUAUUGGCAUGGGCUCCAGGUGGAGGUUUGGACUGAAGCAGUCUGCAAGUAAAAUACAGGUGGAGGAGACACCUGCAGUCUACUGCUAGAGGCUUCGGGCUUUAGGUACACACAUUUCAACUGCAAUGAACUGCAGGAGGAGGCUCCUGCAGUUCACUGGCAAAUACUGGAGGUGGAUAUUGGGCCAGCUCUUUCUGCCAAACACUACAGAUGGAGGAAGCCCCUGUAGUAUACUGGCAGAGGCUGUAGGUGGACGUUUGGCCUCUCAGUGUCUGCCAGUAAAAUGCAGGCGGAGGAGGCUCCCGCAGUUUACUGGCAGAGGUUGUAGGUGGAGGUUUGGCCUGCAGACAAAAAGAAGGUGGGCCCUGCAGUUUGCUGGCAGAGGCUGUGGAUUGUAGAUGUUAAGCCGAAUUUUAAAGUGGAGGUGAUUUUCAAGUCAACGGAACGGACCAGAGAUGGGGGUUCAGGAGGCUUGCUUGUCUUUAGAAGGCUGGACACCUCCUUUACUGGCAGGGUGAAGGAUCAGGCCUGGAGUUGGACCAAGCUGAAUUGACAGGUGCAGAUCAGGGAUGGAGGCUGUUAUGGAGUGCCGGCGGAUGAAAGUUGUUGAAAGUGGCCAGGGGAUUUGGUAUGUAAGUCGGCCUGUACAGUGCAGACGGAGGAUGCACCUAAGUUUCGUGGCAGAGGGUGUUGGUGGAGGCUUGGCCUGUAGCUGUCGACCAGUAAAAUGCAGUGGAGGCGGCAUCUGUGGUUUACUGGCAGAGGGUGUGGGUGGAGGUUCUGAAUAAUAUUGUCUGCAACAAUCUGCAGGUGGAGGCAGCACCUGCAGUUUAAUGCCGCAAGCUGUCAGUGGAGGUUUGAGUUUGCAGGUGGAACUGGAUACUUCUGGUAGAGCAUAUUAAAGCAGCUGUCUGCUGCCUGCUAGCGGAGGCUAGGACAGCAGAUGGCUGACAUAAUAUGAAAGUAAGAUUAAGUGCUUUUAAGUGAAAGAAGGUGCUUUGAACAGACCUUUGUUGAGGAUUGCACAGGCACUUCAGAUGCAGUAAGUGGAGAUAAUCGUGUUCCUGUCUUACAGAAUUGGAAGGUUGGAGCAUUAAUACAGAAAUACUAUCAAAUCAAAAAUAUACAACUAAAUACAACUUAAUACAGCUUAAUACAACUUAAUUAUUACAACAUGUAAAUUAUUUUAAUUUAAGUAAGUGAUUUCAAACUCAGAUAAAGUCCUUUCAAAAGAAUAAACAUUCUUAUUUGGAUCAUAGUGUUGAAUAUUACCUGGAGCUUCAGUGUUUCUGUUGCACCACCCAGCUGUCAAACUGGUCCCGCCACUCUAGAUAAAGCCUCAUGUCUAC
Gasterosteus aculeatus aculeatus (three-spined stickleback) is the source of this 1787-nucleotide long non-coding RNA. Lineage: Eukaryota; Metazoa; Chordata; Actinopteri; Perciformes; Gasterosteidae. The record is from Ensembl.